GCCUCAGAAGUCUAAUCGGUUAGCACAGCAGGCCGGAUAUCUGGAGAUGCGGGUUGUAGUCCCGCCUGAGGUU
This 73-nucleotide transfer RNA is filed under the name Dictyocaulus viviparus (bovine lungworm). It matches the Rfam family "tRNA". Rfam says of the family: Transfer RNA (tRNA) molecules are approximately 80 nucleotides in length. Their secondary structure includes four short double-helical elements and three loops (D, anti-codon, and T loops). The record is from Rfam by way of RNAcentral. Lineage: Eukaryota; Metazoa; Nematoda; Chromadorea; Rhabditida; Metastrongylidae.